RNAcentral lists this ribosomal RNA (253 nucleotides) under uncultured bacterium. RNAcentral's name for it is "partial 16S ribosomal RNA". It matches the Rfam family "Bacterial small subunit ribosomal RNA", at positions 524 to 776 of the family's 1533-position model. The record is from RNAcentral.
UACGGGGGGGGCAAGCGUUGUUCGGAAUUACUGGGCGUAAAGGGCUCGUAGGCGGCCAACUAAGUCAGACGUGAAAUCCCUCGGCUUAACCGGGGAACUGCGUCUGAUACUGGAUGGCUUGAGAUUGGGAGAGGGAUGCGGAAUUCCAGGUGUAGCGGUGGAAUGCGCAGAUAUCAGGAGGAACACCAAUUGCGAAGGCAGCUCGCUGGGACGUUACUGACGCUGAGACGCGAAAGCGUGGGGAGCAAACAGG